Molecule: ribosomal RNA, 250 nt
Filed under: uncultured bacterium
Lineage: Bacteria
Description: partial 16S ribosomal RNA
Rfam family: Bacterial small subunit ribosomal RNA
Source: RNAcentral
UACGGAGGGGGCAAGCGUUGUUCGGAAUUACUGGGCGUAAAGCGCACGUAGGCGGCUUGGUAAGUUGGGGGUGAAAUCCCGAGGCUCAACCUCGGAAUUGCCUUCAAAACUGCUUGGCUCGAGUUCGGAAGAGGUGAGUGGAAUUCCCAGUGUAGAGGUGAAAUUCGUAGAGAUUGGGAAGAACACCAGUGGCGAAGGCGGCUCACUGGUCCGACACUGACGCUGAGGUGCGAAAGCGUGGGGAGCAAAC